RNAcentral lists this ribosomal RNA (756 nucleotides) under bacterium IBRC-M M47. Its description in RNAcentral is "bacterial SSU rRNA". It matches the Rfam family "Bacterial small subunit ribosomal RNA", at positions 37 to 774 of the family's 1533-position model. The record is from RNAcentral.
UACAUGCAGUCGAGCGCAGGGAAAGCAAGUUGAUCCCCUUCGGGGGUGACGCUUGUGGAAUGAGCGGCGGACGGGUGAGUAACACGUGGGCAACCUGCCUGUAAGACUGGGAUAACCCCGGGAAACCGGGGCUAAUACCGGAUAAUACUUUCUUUUGCAUAAAGGAAAGUUGAAAGGCGGCUUCGGCUGUCACUUACAGAUGGGCCCGCGGCGCAUUAGCUAGUUGGUGAGGUAACGGCUCACCAAGGCGACGAUGCGUAGCCGACCUGAGAGGGUGAUCGGCCACACUGGGACUGAGACACGGCCCAGACUCCUACGGGAGGCAGCAGUAGGGAAUCUUCCGCAAUGGACGAAAGUCUGACGGAGCAACGCCGCGUGAGUGAUGAAGGUUUUCGGAUCGUAAAACUCUGUUGUUAGGGAAGAACAAGUACGAUAGUAACUGAUCGUACCUUGACGGUACCUAACCAGAAAGCCACGGCUAACUACGUGCCAGCAGCCGCGGUAAUACGUAGGUGGCAAGCGUUGUCCGGAAUUAUUGGGCGUAAAGCGCUCGCAGGCGGUCCUUUAAGUCUGAUGUGAAAUCUCGCGGCUCAACCGCGAACGGUCAUUGGAAACUGGAGGACUUGAGUACAGAAGAGGAGAGUGGAAUUCCACGUGUAGCGGUGAAAUGCGUAGAGAUGUGGAGGAACACCAGUGGCGAAGGCGACUCUCUGGUCUGUAACUGACGCUGAGGAGCGAAAGCGUGGGGAGCCUUUG